CUGUCUCUUGCUUCAACAGUGUUUGGAAGGAACAG
Molecule: non-coding RNA, 35 nt
Organism: Myotis lucifugus (little brown bat)
Lineage: Eukaryota; Metazoa; Chordata; Mammalia; Chiroptera; Vespertilionidae
Source: Rfam